This 433-nucleotide ribosomal RNA is filed under the name uncultured bacterium. Its description in RNAcentral is "partial 16S ribosomal RNA". It matches the Rfam family "Bacterial small subunit ribosomal RNA", at positions 29 to 507 of the family's 1533-position model. The record is from RNAcentral.
AACGAACGCUGGCGGCAUGCCUAACACAUGCAAGUCGAACGAGACCUUCGGGUCUAGUGGCGCACGGGUGCGUAACGCGUGGGAACCUGCCCUUAGGUUCGGAAUAACUCCCCGAAAGGGGUGCUAAUACCACAUAAUGUCUUCGGACCAAAGAUUUAUCGCCUUUGGAUGGGCCCGCGUUGGAUUAGCUAGUUGGUAGGGUAAAAGCCUACCAAGGCGACGAUCCAUAGCUGGUCUGAGAGGAUGAUCAGCCACACUGGGACUGAGACACGGCCCAGACUCCUACGGGAGGCAGCAGUGGGGAAUAUUGGACAAUGGGCGAAAGCCUGAUCCAGCAAUGCCGCGUGAGUGAUGAAGGCCUUAGGGUUGUAAAGCUCUUUUACCCGGGAUGAUAAUGACAGUACCGGGAGAAUAAGCUCCGGCUAACUCCGUG